UGGGGAAUAUUGCACAAUGGGCGCAAGCCUGAUGCAGCCAUGCCGCGUGUGUGAAGAAGGCCUUCGGGUUGUAAAGCACUUUCAGUCGUGAGGAAGGUAGUGUAGUUAAUACCUCCAUUAUUUGACGUUACCGACAGAAGAAGCACCGGCUAACUCCGUGC
RNAcentral lists this ribosomal RNA (161 nucleotides) under uncultured Vibrio sp. Its description in RNAcentral is "partial 16S ribosomal RNA". It matches the Rfam family "Bacterial small subunit ribosomal RNA", at positions 355 to 508 of the family's 1533-position model. The record is from RNAcentral. Lineage: Bacteria; Pseudomonadati; Pseudomonadota; Gammaproteobacteria; Vibrionales; Vibrionaceae.